This 253-nucleotide ribosomal RNA is filed under the name uncultured bacterium. RNAcentral's name for it is "partial 16S ribosomal RNA". It matches the Rfam family "Bacterial small subunit ribosomal RNA", at positions 524 to 776 of the family's 1533-position model. The record is from RNAcentral.
UACGUAGGGUGCGAGCGUUAAUCGGAAUUACUGGGCGUAAAGCGUGCGCAGGCGGUUGUGCAAGACAGAUGUGAAAUCCCCGGGCUCAACCUGGGAACUGCAUUUGAGACUGCACGGCUGGAGUGCGGCAGAGGGGGAUGGAAUUCCGCGUGUAGCAGUGAAAUGCGUAGAUAUGCGGAGGAACACCGAUGGCGAAGGCAAUCCCCUGGGCCUGCACUGACGCUCAUGCACGAAAGCGUGGGGAGCAAACAGG